GCUUUCUAGCAUUCUGUAGUUCUUUCACAGGACUUAUCAUCUCCUUCCCGGUAUCGUGGUUAUUUGUGUACUAGCCUUAUCUCCUGCACCACAGCGUAAGCUCCUCGGGGGAGGGGACCGCGGGCCCGGGUUCCCCUUUGAAUCCCUCUGGCGCGGACCGACCAGGGCGCCUGCACGCACUCAGCGCGCAGGCUGGUUCAACCGAACUCGGGAACGCUCCGACCGCACAAUUCCUAACCAGAAAUCGGUUAGGCAUUUUCCCGAACUGAAGAACGCAGAGAUGCUAUCCGCCUCCUGAUAACAGGAAGUUUACCAGGGACCAGAAGCGAGGUGGCCGGAGCCCUUGUGCAGUGGGAGUGACAGUUACCCGGGCCCGCACUCCCCUGUCCUCCCGGCUCCGGCCGCAGACGCCCCCACGCCGCCAGCCCCGCCACAGAACCGCGGAAAGCUGGCAGGAGAGCACGGGGCCUCCGGAGACCCGGCCGCAGGCCCGUGGGCGCCGCGCCGGCGAGGACGAGAGGGACAAAAUUGGAAGCACUGGUUAUGAACCCAAGGCUUUGCCUGGAAUAUCAUAUUUGAGAAUGAUGUUCAUUUGAUCAGAAAUGACCUGACACUUUUAAGGAACUAAGGUUGAUUUUAUGGAGCCAAUGGUUACAAAGCCUUCUUGGGAAAACUGACCUGGUACUUGUUCACCGAGUUCCCAGCCUUACAACAUUACCAAGAACUAAAACCUGGCUACCUGGAUCCCUAUCAGCACUUCAGGUUGCCUUGCUGCUGGCCUUUCCCCCCAGAAUCUGAAGAAGCUCUGCAAGCUGUAGCCUAGUGACCUGGCAGCAACCUUUAAGGACCCAGCUCCACAGCAGACCAUGCACAGGCUGGAAUUCUCCCUGGACAAGCUGUUGCUGGACCACUAAGGAAGUCCAACAAAAUACUUGGACCACAGGUGCCCGUGAAUGAAAGGUAGCCAAGACUACGCACAACAUCACCAAGAGUAUGGCCAUCUUAGCUUUGAGAAACUCAAGGAGUGGUGCUGCAAGAUUUUCUUCCUCUAGAAUCCCCUGGACUGGUGAAUUCUCAAGGUUCAAUGCCUGGCUCUUUACCUUAAUACAAUUCUUAUACUAUUAUGUCUCUAUUUUAGGCAUCCCUCUUUUAAGAUAUCUGAUCUCCAGGACCAUAAAACAACUGACCUCUGCCCCACCUCCCAACAGAUGCGCCACCAGUUUUAGAAGAACAACACCAGCAAGAACGCUGGAGAGACUGUUUCUUAGGCCCUGCUUCCUGCCCCUUGGGAGACUUAUGCUUGCCUCUGAGUUGUUCAGUGACAAAAGAUAGUCAUCUGGAACGGGGAGGCGGGGCUGACAUUACUGAGCGUUAUCUGAGCUCCGUGCAACUUCAGCAGUGAUGCUUAAGAAAUCCCCCCACCCCUCUGUGCCUUGGAAAUGACAAGCCAGCUCACCACAAAGGACCACACUGCCCUCAGAGUUUCCAAGGGAAGUCUCAACUCCAUCCUUUCUCAUGACUCCUCUCCAGUGAGGACCUCCCUUUGAUGGCAGCCGGCACGUUGCCCCCGACUGCCCGGCUGGAAUAACAACCAACUGUGCCCUGAUACUCUGUUCAGCCCUCCUGAGGACAACCACCCUUUCGACAGCUCAGGACAUGAGUAAACAGAGAAGGACAGCAUGGCCCUAGUUGCCUCAGGUAGUGUUGGAGUUACGGAAGGAAGCUCUCACGUCCUAUGUUGAAUGGGACAGCAAGGAAUCAGUGUGAGAUACUUCUGAGAUGAGCUGGGGGUAAACACACCCAGGGAUGUCUUUAACAUCAGCUGGACAGGUGCCGGGCAGGGCGCAGGCUGAGGCAGAGCUGGACCGCAGCAGGUGCUGCUCACGGGGGAGCUGUCGGACUGACCAUUAUGAAGCAAAGGGUGAAUCUGAAAGUCAGAAAUGCCAGAGGCAGCCCUAAAAGCUGGGAGGAGGGGAGAUCCCAAAGAGGGAAAGUCCAGGGGAAAGACUGGCCAGGAAGUAAAAGGUGUACAGGCCUUUAGCCAACCCUGACCCCGUCUGAUUCCUCUUCCUGGAGGGGAGCGAGGGCAGGCAGGGAAGGCUCCACUGGGCAGAACAUGUACCCUCAGGGGUCUCUGUUGGCAGCAUGUGACAGGAUUCACCACCUCUGCAACUUCACAGGAAGUUGAAUCAGAAAGAGGCCUUCCAGAUUUCAGCAAGGGCAUGAUGCUGAGAAGGGCGAGGAGACCAGAUGAUGUCUCCAUUCUGGAAUUGUCUCUCUUGUAGCCUGAGAGAUCUAGACAUCCGUGGUGUUUCUUUUCUUUUUUUUUUUUUUUUUAAUGUAUCAGAUAUGAUUCUCCUUGGUGAAGCAAGCAUGUCUGGGACGAGGUCCUAGGGGACAAUGAUAGCCAGGAAGCUCGUGAGAAUCCUCAGGGCCCUUGGGUAUUCUCUGUGCUGUCCCCAGGCCUAGCACAGUGCCCGGGACUGAGGAGCCAUUUUAAGAAGCUUAAGAAUCUGUACUUACUGUACAAAAUUGUGUCCUGGGUCAUAAAAAACCUGACAAAGUUAGAAAGCUCAUUAGAGGCAGGAUGAGGGCAUGGGUCAUGCUGACUAUAUGACAUGCAGCCAGGAGUCAUAUUAAACAUGUUUAUUCACCAGAACUACACUAUUUCUACAAGUAUAUACUAAGCAGAAUGGAUUCUGGCUAAAAAUCAUCUCUGUGUAUAGCAAUGGUAGGACCUCUCUGGGCUCUGACUCACUUAUUAUUUGAAUAAAACCAGGGGACAGAGAGGUGGAUUGACACUCAUUGGGCUUUGAACUGUGCUUCCAGAACUGGGGUACAAACUCAGGCCACUAGGUAGUCAGUGGAUUAGGAUCUAACCUUGACCAAUAGGGCUGUGAUGGCUGGAAAUGGGCUCUGGUCCAGGAGAUCAUGUGCAUUGUCUUGGUGACAUCCUCCGUAACACCAGCAAUUCGAGAGGCCACAACCAUUACAGAGUCCAGUUUUUCAGGGGCCUCUGGCAUCCAAGGGGAAUAGGGAGCCUUUAGAGUCUUCUCGGCCCUUGCCUGGACCUGAGUAUAUUCUGCCAGAAACCUCACAUCUGGAUGUGUCUGGGUUUCUGUCCUGGCAGAAGUACAGGCCUGUGUGCUGGCUCUUCCCCAGGGAACAUGCUGAAGGGGUCAUAAUGGCAGAGCAAGCCUCCCCUGUCCUCUGUCCUCUGGAAGUCCCUACCCAAUGGUACAGGACCUUGUCCAGGGGCUGCUGAAUGCAACACUGGCCUGUUGCUGGUAUCUGGUCAUGCUGGAGGUUCUAGGAGUGCUAAGCUAUAAUUUAUUUAGAAUGGAGCACCUUCCUUGAGUUAGGCUGGCCUCUGCCAGCUCCUGUUAUUUGGGCUCAUAUGAUAAAGGUUUAGCUGAGAGGUUGCCUAGGCUAGCUGUUUGAAAACCCCAUCUUUGAAAGUUAAGUGCCCACUCUAAGUGACCAGGGCUGAGUUUUCCUGUCUCUGAGAGCUGUUUCCAGACGCUGUCGUUAGCCUUUGAGGCCCAGUAUGUCAGAUUCUGUUAAGUUCAUCUCUCCAAGCCUUAAAACCUCUUUUAAUGUUAUCUGUGUCCUGGGAGUUGGUUUCUCACAGAACUAGAUUCUUUGAAAAAUUGGCAACAGAGCAAAAGUUUUCUAACAACAUGGUGGCCCCGUAUAUAUGUUUGGGAGGCUUCCAAGCCAGGCGGACAUGGGUGGGCUGAGUUAGAAUAGGCUUGGAUGAGGGCAGAUAAGAUCGUGAUUUGGGGAGGAGUUUUUGCUAAUUUGGGGGUCCAAAGAAUAUUCCUUUUAUUCUGAGGAAGUCUGUUGACAGGAUGGUAAUGAAAAUGUGAGUUUUUUUUUUUUUUUUUUUUUUGCGGUACGCGGGCCUUUCACUGUUGUGGCCUCUCCCGUUGCGGAGCACAGACUCCGGACGCGCAGGCUCAGCGGCCAUGGCUCACAGGCCCAGACGCUCUGCGGCAUGUGGGAUCUUCCCGGACCGGGGCACGAACCCGUGUCCCCUGCAUGGGCAGGUGGACUCUCAACCACUGUGCCACCAGGGAAGCCCAAAAGUGAGUUUUUGAAUACCUAUGGCAACCAGAGAAGUAUUAUUCCUGAUGUAUAAGAGUUUUGCCCCUUGAGUGCAGAAACCUGGUCAAGUCAACCUUAAGUAUUUUGCAUAUACAUUUUGGGGGAGGGGACACUGGCCCACACGUAGUGUAAAGACAGGGUCCAGGAAAUAACUGUGGGUCAGAACAUCAGUCAAGUAGGGCUUUGCCCCUGACCAGGAGGCCUUGGAGGACUACACCUGUGAGUCCUCAGAACCCACCUGGUGUGGUUCAGGCCUCAGAGUAUCACCGAAGACCUGGACUGAUCCCUGCACGUCCAGAAGGCCUUCUCUGCUGGCCCACAGGCCCACAUCUGAACUGUUUGUCCUCAGAAUGUCCAGCUUAAUGGAUGGACUGGUUCCUCCAAACUGACUUCAUGAAUUGAAAAUGAUUGGAAGUGAGUCUCUUACUGUGACCACCUUGAUAGGGCCACCAUACAGGGUCUGGGCCUGGUGAGAAAAAAUAGAGGCAGGGGUUUGAGGACUAAAAGUACUUACAUGGGAUUUGUAUGAAUAUGCAACCUAGUUAUAUCCUAGUUUCCCUUCCAGACUGAUGUCUCCUGUCUUGGUGGACCCAGCCCCAUUCAGGGCUGUCCUGUUUUAGCUGGAGCUCCCAGUUUUUCUUCUUUACAAUGACAUCAGUCCUUGCUGGGUGUGGUCAAGGACUUGCUAACUCCCCGUUGUAAGUUUCUUCUAGGUUGUCCUGGACGGAAGACCUGAGCUUCAAAAGAUGAAUAUACUCUUCAAACUCUGCACCUUGUAUAAUCUGGUUGAAGGACACCUACCUAGGAGAGUGCUGGUUGCAGGAACUGGACGAGGCUCUAUGUUCAAGUAUCCAAGUGAGACUGAGACCAACGGUUUCCAGUUGGGUGGCACCAGGAGCAGUGGGGCGUCCAAUACAGGUUACAGACAGCAGCUGAGGAGCUUGUAGGUGUGCUCUCGGUGGCAGAGGGGAAGCCCAGUACAGGGACUCAUCUGUGCUAUCUGUCCAUAGUGGUGUGAACCAGAGUUUAGAAGGCCCUUUGACACCCUGUAAUUUGUCAUGAAAAAGAUCAUAGUUACCUAUGAAAGGUAGCCAGAUCCUUCCUGUCCUUGAUUUUAGGGUGAAGAGUUGGAUCUUGAUUUCUGUAAAUGACAUCUUUCUUGGGGGCUGGGAGGGGAUAGUUGGGAAAGAGCAUCUAUUAAGCUGAGGAAAGUGCAUGAUUCCCUUGGGUGGUUUGUCCAUUUGGCUGGUGGGAGUGUGUGUGUGUGUGUGUGUGUGUGUGUGUGUGUGUGUAUGGUGCAUACAGGUGAGUGAGUGUAUGUGAGAGUGAACAUGAAUGUGUAUAAAUGUGAGGGAGGUAUAGCAGGAGGUGGCCUGUAACACUUACACAGGAAGCUGACUGACCCACCCCAGGCAGUGCAUGCUGGGCUGGUCAGAAAGGCAAGAAGAUGUUCAGUUGUAUUAACCUGUUGUCUUUUACCCAUUUCUUUCCCUACCUCUCCAAAAUGGGUUGAGUUUGGCAGGUAGGACAAGCCUCAAUACAGGCAUACCCGACCUCAUACUGAAGGGUGACCAAUGACCUCUGCCAGAAGAAGGAUCCAGGGGUCAAAGCCUUCCAGGGACUAGAAUGGAGACACCAAGCCCUCACUCAAGCAUCAGCCUGGGCUGGAAUCUGGCCUUCCCAAGAUUCUGUGACGGUGGAAGAGAGCUCAGGGAAGUUGCCGGCUACUGUGGUUUAGUCCCACUGAUUCCAGAAAGGAUUGUUCAGACCUAGAAUGAAGAAGACUCUCUCCAGUCCAGGCAUGGUCUGAGUGACAACGCGCCAUGGCACAUGUCCAGAUUGGUGCAGCUAGAUGCAGCUGAUGGACUUGGCACCCGGCCUCCACUUGCCAUCAGGGCCUCCAAGAAGGAACUGCAAUAUCUCCAGCUAUUUUAGGAUCGAUACAGAAGAUGUUAUUUGUAUUGCCACAGCGUCUGAGGAACGGUACAUAAGGUCUGGCGGAGCUUAGCCUCUGGUUCUCUAAGGCUCAGGAAGAUUUGUUCUGCAUGUUCUUCUUUGCUCCUUGCUGAGUCAUUCGUGAGGCUCGAUCACUUCAUCUGAGCUCAUUUGCCUUUCCCAGGCUUGGAACUGGCAUCACUCACAUAUCAGUUGCCACUGUAAAGUUCCAAGGAGACGAUCGAUUAUUACUUCACUUUUCAUUUCUCCUCCUGUUAAUCCCUCUCUGUUUUCUACCCCUGCCCCCCCCACAGCCCCGCACCCGUCUUCUAGUCUGUAUUCCAGUCCUGCUUACACAUCAGAGCACUUCCCCCAACAAGCCUUGCAAGAGCACCUCCUAAGGCCCGUAAUGACGGUUGUGCAGAGUCUGAGGGUAGGAAUCAAACAAUUCACAAAGACUUUAAGACUGUUUUUUAAAAUCUUGAAGGGAUAGUAUUAAAAUCGCAAAUUAUUUGGAAACUACUCUGCACAGGUCCUGUGCCAGAGGCUUUACCUGUGUGAUUGCUGAUCCUAAAGCAAAAGGGAAAUGCUGCACUUCAUCAAAUCAAAUGCUACUCUGUGUAACAUUAAGGACAAAAAAACCCCAACAACACCUUGUCAACUGUGUUGUAACCUGACACUGAUUGCAAAUUGCAUCCUAAUUUCAGAGAUGUUAAAAUGUGAAGGAAAAAAAAAGUGCAUCUUAGACUUGAUGGUGAGGAGUUGUACAGAGAAAACUGAAGCUCAGAGAGGCUGGGUAAUGUGGCCAGAACCACAGAGCUAAUCAGAGGCAGAGCUGGCUUUAGAUUGUGCCAGAGUCCAUUGCCUCUCCAGACGUUUGAAGGCUUUUUCUCCUGACUGGUUUCCUUUUCCUUGCCUGCCUGUGUCUCAGGAACCAGUCCCUAAGCCAUCUGUCCUGGAUAAAAGAGCCUCUGCUUUCAGACAACUGACAGAGCUAAAGCAAGUGUCCUUUUGAGACUGCGUCCCCUCCUCACGGUGCCUAAUUAUAGAGACUGCCCAUUCUGCUGUCGCUAGGUUAUUUUUGGCAGGGGGAGGGUGGGAGGGGAAGGAGUGAUGGCCAUGCAGGCUUCCCCUUCUCCCCCAGCUACUGGCUUCUUUAUCUCUUACCCUGAGGCAGCAGCGGAGGGGCCAUGGCCCUUGCCAAGUGGAUUAAUAAAAGCUGAUUUAGGGGGCUAGAAGCUGCUGGGGAAAUCUACCCACCCCUCUCCUUAUCAGGUCUUCUCGCCCUACUCCAUCAAAAUGUGCUGCCCCUCUGAUCCCAAACUCAACGUCACCCCUUAGACUUCAAAGUUUUGUUUCCCUCCAAACUAAUGUCCUGUGUCUCCCGAGAUGAACUCCCACCUGCCGAGGCCACUUCCCACUUACUUGUUUAUUCAUUGGAUGAUUUAAUAAAUAUUUAGUGAGCACCCACUACAUAGUACUCUGAAAAUGAGUGAUAAGCCAGCAGCACACGCACAGUUCCUGCCCUCUUGGGGUUCACAGCCUAAUGCGGGAGACGGUUGUCAUCAAAGAAGCUUGUAAAUUACUGUAGAAUGACAAGUGUGAUAAAAGUUUCUCAGGAAGAGCUGCAGCUGAGCUAGCACUCCCCCGGUAUCCUGUGUGCUCCCCUGCUUUUCCCAACACCCCCGCUCUUGCAGUUUCAGUUGGGCCCAAGUGAUUAAUUCUGGCCAAGGACCAUGAGUGGACAUGAUGUGUAUCACCUCCAGGGAAGGACUAAGAGCUGGGGUGCAUCUCCUUCAACUCUCUUUGUUCUGUUUUGAUGACCGUGGGCACCAUGUAGAUGGUGGAGCUACAGGAUAAAGGGGUCUACCCAACCCACAUUGAACAUUACAUUUAGGGGAAAUAAGCCUCUAUUGUGCUUGUCCACUGAGACCUUGGUUUGACCCCGUAGCUAGUGGUGAUUGCCUUCACAGAAUCACAUGUUCCUGUGAGGGAAAACAGGGAGACAACUGACCAGGCAAAGGGCCGGGAAAGGCAUCCUUAGGAAAGUGACAUUUAGGUCAGGGUCCAAAGGAAGAGUGGGAAUUAACUUGGAGAACACUGUGUGUGUGUUGGGGGGAGCAUUCCAGACAAACUCACAGCCUGUGCAAAGGCCCUGCAUACAUUUCAGUCCUUAUCUUCCUGGGUCACUUUGUUGAUGUGACAUGGUGACCACACUCUCAUUUUUCAGACUUCUCACUUCCUUGGCUUCCAAGACAGCCUCUCGCCUGGCUCCUCCUAGUCAAUCAACCAAUUCUUCCAAGACUCUUUUUUUU
Orcinus orca (killer whale) is the source of this 8357-nucleotide long non-coding RNA. RefSeq lists it as uncharacterized. The record is from RefSeq and is a predicted model, not a curated record. Lineage: Eukaryota; Metazoa; Chordata; Mammalia; Artiodactyla; Delphinidae. The transcript is spliced from 5 exons.